GUGCUUGCUUCAGUGGCACAAAUGCUAAAAUUGGAACGACACAUAGAAGAUUAGCAUGGUCCCUGCACAAGGACGACAUGCAAAUUUGUGAAGCAUUCCAUAUAUAU
Molecule: small nuclear RNA, 107 nt
Organism: Phyllostomus discolor (pale spear-nosed bat)
Lineage: Eukaryota; Metazoa; Chordata; Mammalia; Chiroptera; Phyllostomidae
Source: RefSeq, a predicted model, not a curated record